GACGAACGCUGGCGGCGUGCUUAACACAUGCAAGUCGAACGGAAAGGCCCUGCUUUUGUGGGGUGCUCGAGUGGCGAACGGGUGAGUAACACGUGAGUAACCUGCCCUUGACUUUGGGAUAACUUCAGGAAACUGGGGCUACUACCGGAUAGGAGCUCCUGCUGCAUGGUGGGGGUUGGAAAGUUUCGGCGGUUGGGGAUGGACUCGCGGCUUAUCAGCUUGUUGGUGGGGUAGUGGCUUACCAAGGCUUUGACGGGUAGCCGGCCUGAGGGGGUGACCGGCCACAUUGGGACUGAGAUACGGCCCAGACUCCUACGGGAGGCAGCAGUGGGGAAUAUUGCACAAUGGGCGGAAGCCUGAUGCAGCAACGCCGCGUGCGGGAUGACGGCCUUCGGGUUGUAAACCGCUUUCGCCUGUGACGAAGCGUGAGUGACGGUAAUGGGUAAAGAAGCACCGGCUAACUACGUG
RNAcentral lists this ribosomal RNA (468 nucleotides) under uncultured bacterium. RNAcentral's name for it is "partial 16S ribosomal RNA". It matches the Rfam family "Bacterial small subunit ribosomal RNA", at positions 28 to 507 of the family's 1533-position model. The record is from RNAcentral.